This 221-nucleotide unclassified non-coding RNA is filed under the name air metagenome. RNAcentral describes it as "partial contains small subunit ribosomal RNA, internal transcribed spacer 1, and 5.8S ribosomal RNA". The stretch from base 1 to 46 matches the Rfam family "Eukaryotic small subunit ribosomal RNA", at positions 1786 to 1831 of the family's 1831-position model. The record is from RNAcentral.
AAGUCGUAACAAGGUCUCCGUAGGUGAACCUGCGGAGGGAUCAUUACUGAGUGAGGGCUAACCGCCCGACCUCCCAACCCUUCUGUCGUCUCCGACCGCGUUGCCUCGGGGGAUCCGCCGUCCGCGGCGGCCCCCGGAGGACCCCAUAACUCUGCGUAACCGUCGUCUGAGUCCAAACAAAAAUUGAAACACAACUUUCAACAACGGAUCUCUUGGCUCUG